RNAcentral lists this ribosomal RNA (437 nucleotides) under uncultured bacterium. Its description in RNAcentral is "bacterial SSU rRNA". It matches the Rfam family "Bacterial small subunit ribosomal RNA", at positions 29 to 506 of the family's 1533-position model. The record is from RNAcentral.
AUUAACGCUGGCGGCAUGCCUUAUGCAUGCAAGUAGAACGGGUCAGUCGCAAGACUGAUCAGUUGCGAACGGCUGAGUAAUGGAUAGGAAUCUCCCAAUUGGUGUGGAAUACCUCAUCGAAAGAUGAGCUAAUACCACAUAAGACCGCAAGGUGAAAGCGCUUAACUGCGCGCCGAUUGAUGAGCCUAUCUCCCAUCAGGCUGUUGGUGGGGUAAUGGCCUACCAAACCUAUGACGGGUACCCGCCCUGAGAGGGGAAACGGGCAGAAUGGGACUGAGACACGGCCCAUACACCUACGGGUGGCAGCAACAGGGAAUCGUACGCAAUGGACGAAAGUCUGACGUCGCAAUGCCGCGUGGAGGAUGAAGGCCUUCGGGUCGUAAACUCCUUUUAUAGUAAUAGAGAUGUUAUUAAGAAUAAGCACCUGCUAACUCUGU